UAUACCUACGGGACGCAGCAGUGAGGAAUAUUGGUCAAUGGGCGCGAGCCUGAACCAGCCAAGUCGCGUGAGGGAAGACGGUCCUAUGGAUUGUAAACCUCUUUUGUCGGGGAGCAGAGGACGCCACGCGUGGCGUUCCGAGUGUACCCGAAGAAAAAGCAUCGGCUAACUCCGUGCCAGCAGCCGCGGUAAUACGGAGGAUGCGAGCGUUAUCCGGAUUUAUUGGGAUUAAAGGGUGCGCAGGCGGAAGAUCAAGUCAGCGGUAAAAUUGAGAGGCUCAACCUCUUCGAGCCGUUGCAACUGGU
Molecule: ribosomal RNA, 305 nt
Filed under: uncultured bacterium
Lineage: Bacteria
Description: bacterial SSU rRNA
Rfam family: Bacterial small subunit ribosomal RNA
Source: RNAcentral